UGACCCUACGGGGCGCAGCAGUGGGGAAUAUUGCACAAUGGGGGAAACCCUGAUGCAGCGACGCCGCGUGAGUGAAGAAGUAUUUCGGUAUGUAAAGCUCUAUCAGCAGGGAAGAAAAUGACGGUACCCGACUAAGAAGCCCCGGCUAACUACGUGCCAGCAGCCGCGGUAAUACGUAGGGGGCAAGCGUUAUCCGGAAUUACUGGGUGUAAAGGGAGCGUAGACGGCAAUGCAAGUCCGGAGUGGAAUGCGGCAGCUCAACUGCCGAACUGCUCUGGAAACUGUAUGGCUUGAGGGCAGGAGGG
This 305-nucleotide ribosomal RNA is filed under the name uncultured bacterium. Its description in RNAcentral is "bacterial SSU rRNA". It matches the Rfam family "Bacterial small subunit ribosomal RNA", at positions 334 to 656 of the family's 1533-position model. The record is from RNAcentral.